GCGGCGUGCCUAAUACAUGCAAGUCGAACGAACUCUGGUAUUGAUUGGUGCUUGCAUCAUGAUUUACAUUUGAGUGAGUGGCGAACUGGUGAGUAACACGUGGGAAACCUGCCCAGAAGCGGGGGAUAACACCUGGAAACAGAUGCUAAUACCGCAUAACAACUUGGACCGCAUGGUCCGAGCUUGAAAGAUGGCUUCGGCUAUCACUUUUGGAUGGUCCCGCGGCGUAUUAGCUAGAUGGUGGGGUAACGGCUCACCAUGGCAAUGAUACGUAGCCGACCUGAGAGGGUAAUCGGCCACAUUGGGACUGAGACACGGCCCAAACUCCUACGGGAGGCAGCAGUAGGGAAUCUUCCACAAUGGACGAAAGUCUGAUGGAGCAACGCCGCGUGAGUGAAGAAGGGUUUCGGCUCGUAAAACUCUGUUGUUAAAGAAGAACAUAUCUGAGAGUAACUGUUCAGGUAUUGACGGUAUUUAACCAGAAAGCCACGGCUAACUACGUGCCAGCAGCCGCGGUAAUACGUAGGUGGCAAGCGUUGUCCGGAUUUAUUGGGCGUAAAGCGAGCGCAGGCGGUUUUUUAAGUCUGAUGUGAAAGCCUUCGGCUCAACCGAAGAAGUGCAUCGGAAACUGGAAAACUUGAGUGCAGAAGAGGACAGUGGAACUCCAUGUGUAGCGGUGAAAUGCGUAGAUAUAUGGAAGAACACCAGUGGCGAAGGCGGCUGUCUGGUCUGUAACUGACGCUGAGGCUCGAAAGUAUGGGUAGCAAACAGGAUUAGAUACCCUGGUAGUCCAUACCGUAAACGAUGAAUGCUAAGUGUUGGAGGGUUUCCGCCCUUCAGUGCUGCAGCUAACGCAUUAAGCAUUCCGCCUGGGGAGUACGGCCGCAAGGCUGAAACUCAAAGGAAUUGACGGGGGCCCGCACAAGCGGUGGAGCAUGUGGUUUAAUUCGAAGCUACGCGAAGAACCUUACCAGGUCUUGACAUACUAUGCAAAUCUAAGAGAUUAGACGUUCCCUUCGGGGACAUGGAUACAGGUGGUGCAUGGUUGUCGUCAGCUCGUGUCGUGAGAUGUUGGGUUAAGUCCCGCAACGAGCGCAACCCUUAUUAUCAGUUGCCAGCAUUAAGUUGGGCACUCUGGUGAGACUGCCGGUGACAAACCGGAGGAAGGUGGGGAUGACGUCAAAUCAUCAUGCCCCUUAUGACCUGGGCUACACACGUGCUACAAUGGAUGGUACAACGAGUUGCGAACUCGCGAGAGUAAGCUAAUCUCUUAAAGCCAUUCUCAGUUCGGAUUGUAGGCUGCAACUCGCCUACAUGAAGUCGGAAUCGCUAGUAAUCGCGGAUCAGCAUGCCGCGGUGAAUACGUUCCCGGGCCUUGUACACACCGCCCGUCACACCAUGAGAGUUUGUAACACCCAAAGUCGGUGGGGUAACCUUUUAGGAACCAGCCGCCUAAGGUGGGACAGAUGAUUAG
RNAcentral lists this ribosomal RNA (1474 nucleotides) under Lactiplantibacillus plantarum. RNAcentral describes it as "bacterial SSU rRNA". It matches the Rfam family "Bacterial small subunit ribosomal RNA". The record is from RNAcentral. Lineage: Bacteria; Bacillati; Bacillota; Bacilli; Lactobacillales; Lactobacillaceae.